GCUGUGAUGGCCGAGUGGUUAAGGCGUUGGACUUGAAAUCCAAUGGGGUUUCCCCGCGCAGGUUCGAGCCCUGCUCGCAGCG
Molecule: non-coding RNA, 82 nt
Organism: Oreochromis niloticus (Nile tilapia)
Lineage: Eukaryota; Metazoa; Chordata; Actinopteri; Cichliformes; Cichlidae
Source: Rfam